UACGUAUGUCGCGAGCGUUAUCCGGAAUUAUUGGGCGUAAAGCGUGCGUAGGCGGUUUGGUAAGUCUGAUGUGAAAAUGCGGGGCUCAACUCCGUAUUGCAUUGGAAACUGUCAAGCUAGAGUACUGGAGAGGGGGGUGGAACUACAAGUGUAGAGGUUAAAUUCGUAGAUAUGUGGAGGAACACCGAUGGAGAAGGCAGCCCCCUGGACAGAUACUGACGCUGAAGCACGAAAGCGUGGGUAGCAAACAGG
Molecule: ribosomal RNA, 252 nt
Filed under: uncultured bacterium
Lineage: Bacteria
Description: partial 16S ribosomal RNA
Rfam family: Bacterial small subunit ribosomal RNA
Source: RNAcentral